Long non-coding RNA from Biomphalaria glabrata, 702 nucleotides. RefSeq lists it as uncharacterized. NCBI's taxonomy places the organism in Eukaryota, Metazoa, Mollusca, Gastropoda, Planorbidae. The record is from RefSeq and is a predicted model, not a curated record. The transcript has 3 exons.
UCUACUGUCCGCUGCGAGAUCUUGGCUGGAAUGUAAAAGGAAUAUCCAAAAUAUUUAAAUGACAAACAGGAUGGGAACUGAUUAUGAGGAAUAUGCUGAAACAGACAUCUGGCAUAUUCCUAUAAUCAGUAUCAUGGCCUUUGUAUACAACAAAAUUGAUUGGAACUCCUAGACUAGAAAUAUAAUUCAAGAUUUAAAUAAGGCACUGGUCAUAGUUUUAGAAAGUGUGGCUAGCAUUUUGGUAAGAUAUUUUAUUGAUAAUUAGAAAUUAAAUUAAAUUUUAUUUAAUGAUUUUAAAUUUCUUUUUUAAGAAUUAUGGUCCAUUUUUUCCCCAUUUGUGUACAAAGAAGGAAGACAGAGAGAUGGGAAGACAUCAAAGAAUGGACAGGUCUGCCAUGAAAUGGUUUAUCCAGGGCUAAGUACAGAGAGGAAUAUAGAAGGGCUGUUGACAGAUCUUGUGUGGUGCCCCCAAGGUUCAACAGACUGAUUGAUAGAAAAUAAUACCAGGGUUAUGCUCCUUUGACCAUUGAGUUCCAGGAUGAAGAAUGAAAGACAAGAGAGCAAUGUGAAGACAUCAAAGAAUGGGCAGGUCUGCCAUGAAAUGGUUUAUCCAGGGCUAAGUACAGAGAGGAAUAUAGAAGGGCUGUUGACAGAUCUUGUGUGGUGCCCCCAUGGUUCAACAGACUGAUUGAUAGGUAAUGG